AGGUAAUAGAUACCCGGUAGUCCUGGCGGUAAACGGUGCACGUUUGGUGUGGGAGGAUCCGACCCCUUCCGCGCCGGAGCUAAACGCGUUAAAAAACGUGCCGCCUGGGGAGUACGGUCGCAAGAUUAAAACUCAAAGAAAUUGACGGGGGCCCGCACAAGCGGUGGAGUAUGUGGCUUAAUUCGAUGCAAACGCGAAGAACCUUACCUGGCCUUGACAUGCAUUGCUAAGCUGGUGAAAGCCAGUGAGUGUCGAAAGACACACCUUGCACAGGUGCUGCAUGGCUGUCGUCAGCUCGUGUCGUGAGAUGUUGGGUUAAAGUCCCGCAACGAGCGCAACCCCUGUGAACUGUUGCCACGUCCUUGAUUGGACAACACUCUGUUCAGACUGCCCUGUGAAACGGGGAGGAAGGUGGGGACGACGUCAAGUCAGUAUGGCCCUUACGGCCAGGGCUGCACACGUACUACAAUGCCCAGUACAGAACGAUCCGAGACCGCGAGGUGGAGGAAAUCCAGU
Molecule: ribosomal RNA, 516 nt
Filed under: uncultured bacterium
Lineage: Bacteria
Description: bacterial SSU rRNA
Rfam family: Bacterial small subunit ribosomal RNA
Source: RNAcentral